RNAcentral lists this ribosomal RNA (492 nucleotides) under uncultured bacterium. RNAcentral describes it as "partial 16S ribosomal RNA". It matches the Rfam family "Bacterial small subunit ribosomal RNA", at positions 29 to 507 of the family's 1533-position model. The record is from RNAcentral.
AGUGAACGCUGGCGGUAGGCCUAACACAUGCAAGUCGAACGGCAGCACAGUAAGAGCUUGCUCUUACGGGUGGCGAGUGGCGGACGGGUGAGGAAUACAUCGGAAUCUACUUUUUCGUGGGGGAUAACGUAGGGAAACUUACGCUAAUACCGCAUACGACCUACGGGUGAAAGCAGGGGAUCUUCGGACCUUGCGCGAUUGAAUGAGCCGAUGUCGGAUUAGCUAGUUGGCGGGGUAAAGGCCCACCAAGGCGACGAUCCGUAGCUGGUCUGAGAGGAUGAUCAGCCACACUGGAACUGAGACACGGUCCAGACUCCUACGGGAGGCAGCAGUGGGGAAUAUUCGACAAUGGGCGCAAGCCUGACCCAGCCAUGCCGCGUGAGUGAAGAAGGCCUUCGGGUUGUAAAGCCCUUUUGUUGGGAAAGAAAAAAAGUAGGAUUAACCCUCGACGUUCUGACGGUACCUAAAGAAUAAGCACCGGCUAACUUCGUG